AUGCAUUUAGCUUAGUUUCAUGCC
This 24-nucleotide non-coding RNA is filed under the name Arabidopsis thaliana (thale cress). The record is from RNAcentral. Lineage: Eukaryota; Viridiplantae; Streptophyta; Magnoliopsida; Brassicales; Brassicaceae.